CUGUGUAAGUGCUAUACCUGUGUCCACGUUUGUGUGUAUAUUUUUUGUACUUCUGUUAUUGUUAUUGUUUAACUGUGAUCAGUAGGAGGUUAACGGGGGUUCACACAGAGGGGAAGGAGAUAAAAGAACGAGCUUGGCUGUUAAAGACUAGGGGUCGUGAGCAGGUAAAGCGAAGCGUAGACGACGGCUAACAAAUGAAAACGUUCACCAUUCCCGUCUAUCCGGCAACGCAACAUAGCCGACAAGCGUCACAGUAGCAGCAUAUGUUGCGAGACCAAGCCACCUGGAGUCGUAUCUGCCAGGCCGUUCGACAAAUAACUGUGGAAUUGCAGCGUUCCUGGGAUGCGGAAAGGGCCAAUUGCGCAGCCGAGGACAUGGCUCAGCGCGAGGCCGAGCUGGAGGAAAUUACGGCACAUAGAGCGGAGGUGGUUGCCGCUCGUAAUAAUCGGCGUAAUUCGAGACGUAGAGAGCAGCGCAGUGCAGCGUGCGCGGGAAAGAGAGGAACGCCGGGGCGGACGGUCCCCUUCCCCUCCACCGUCACCAUCUACCGCUUCCCGACGUGAGGCGAAUCGGAUUGACCCGCAGGACUCCGGGAUGCUUCGGAUUGCUCCGACCCGGUGAGUUCCAGUUGCCCCGCCUUUCACUAGUGUGUGUAAGGAAGAACGUGCGUGAGUUGUCGGAUCGCUGACCAAGGAGUAGGAGAAGGAGGUAAAAAUGAGUUUAUGUUUAACGAGCCCGUUGCAACAAUAAUAAUUAGAAAAUAGACUUCAAAUAUAUUUGUGUUUUUCGGAAGCAUUUAUCAAAUACGA
This is a long non-coding RNA of Anopheles arabiensis, 809 nucleotides long. RefSeq lists it as uncharacterized. NCBI's taxonomy places the organism in Eukaryota, Metazoa, Arthropoda, Insecta, Diptera, Culicidae. The record is from RefSeq and is a predicted model, not a curated record. The transcript has 3 exons.